Molecule: ribosomal RNA, 660 nt
Filed under: uncultured fungus
Lineage: Eukaryota; Fungi
Description: eukaryotic LSU rRNA
Rfam family: Eukaryotic large subunit ribosomal RNA
Source: RNAcentral
CCCGCUGAACUUAAGCAUAUCAAUAAGCGGAGGAAAAGAAACUAACAAGGAUUCCCCUAGUAACUGCGAGUGAAGCGGGAAGAGCUCAAAUUUAAAAUCUGGCGUGCCUCUGGUCGUCCGAGUUGUAGUCUGGAGAAGCGUCUUCCGUGUUGGACCGUGUACAAGUCUCUUGGAACAGGGCGUCAUAGAGGGUGAGAAUCCCGUCUUUGACACGGACUACCAAUGCUUUGUGAUGCGCUCUCAAAGAGUCGAGUUGUUUGGGAAUGCAGCUCAAAAUGGGUGGUAAAUUCCAUCUAAAGCUAAAUAUAGGCGAGAGACCGAUAGCGAACAAGUACCGUGAGGGAAAGAUGAAAAGCACUUUGGAAAGAGAGUUAAACAGUACGUGAAAUUGCUGAAAGGGAAACGCUUGAAGUCAGUCACGUCUGCCAGGACUCAGCCUUGCUUCUGCUUGGUGCACUUUCUGGUUUGAUGGGCCAACAUCAAUUUUGACCGUUGGAGAAAGGCUCUGGGAAUGUGGCACCUUUGGGUGUGUUAUAGCCCUUUGUUGUAUACAACGGUUGGGAUUGAGGACUGCAGCACGCCUUCAUGGCCGGGGUUUUGCCCACGUACGUGCUUAGGAUGUUGGCAUAAUGGCUUUAAGCGACCCGUCUUGAAACACGG